This 253-nucleotide ribosomal RNA is filed under the name uncultured bacterium. Its description in RNAcentral is "partial 16S ribosomal RNA". It matches the Rfam family "Bacterial small subunit ribosomal RNA", at positions 524 to 776 of the family's 1533-position model. The record is from RNAcentral.
UACGGGGGGGGCAAGCGUUGUUCGGAAUUACUGGGCGUAAAGGGCUCGUAGGCGGCCAACUAAGUCGGAUGUGAAAUCCCCAGGCUUAACCUGGGAACUGCAUCCGAUACUGGAUGGCUUGAAUCCGGGGGAGGGAUGCGGAAUUCCAGGUGUAGCGGUGAAAUGCGUAGAUAUCUGGAGGAACACCGGUGGCGAAGGCGGCAUCCUGGACCGGCAUUGACGCUGAGGAGCGAAAGCCAGGGGAGCAAACAGG